RNAcentral lists this transfer RNA (68 nucleotides) under Lonchophylla concava. RNAcentral describes it as "tRNA-Pro". Lineage: Eukaryota; Metazoa; Chordata; Mammalia; Chiroptera; Phyllostomidae. The record is from RNAcentral.
CAAGGAGUAGUUUAUCACUAGAAUUUCAGCUUUGGGUGUUGAAGGUGGGGCUUGAGCCCUCUCCUUGA